CAUCUUGUAUUCCUUGACUCCAUAUCUGAUCUGACAACUUUCCACUUACGUGACAGAGGAGGAGGCAUACGUGAAGUAGUGCUAGUGAAAUGUCAGGCCCCAGGAGAGAUUUGAAUGCCUUUCCCAUUAAAGAGCUACAGAAAGUGGCAGUUUUGCUCCAUCACAGAUUUAUUUACAGGCAUAAGAAACACUUUGUUUUCUGUUUCCCCAAUGGAUUUUUAACUGGAUGUAAUUUUACACAGGACUCAUCAGGUCUCGCUCCAUUUAAAACCAAAGAACCAUCCACUCGGAUCGGGAAGAUACAAGUAAUUAAAACACUGGAAUCUUCAUUGCCUGCCCUGUGGCAUCUAUAAACUUUUUUGGGUUUCCUACUUUUGUCAGCUGCUGCCAAGCAUCUUCUCAUAUCUUCCCCCACCUCCCCUCCCCUGCACCUAGUUGUUGUCUCUUGUGUGCUGCGUCUUUAACAUCUAUUCUUUGAGCCCAGUGGUGGGCAUAGGUGUCAGACGCUCUGUUUUAAUUCUGAGACUAGAUCAGGCGAUUUUCCUACGUUACUCUUCUCCUCUCGUAUUAUACAUUAUGUGCACCAAAUCUUGUCAUGUGUCACAGUAAAGAUAAUAGACUGCUGUGUUGAAGAACAAAUACAGAGUUUCAUUUUUCUUCUUUAGGCAAAUUUAGCGAUCAACCCAGCGGCCUUGCUGCCCACAGCAGCUUCCCAGAUCUCUGAAGUAAAGCCUGUUUUGCCAGAAUUGGCUUUUCCUUCAUCUGAACACAGAAGGAGCCACGGUCUGGAAAGUGUGCCUGUCCUUCCCGGGAGUGGGGAGGCCGGUGUGAGUUUUGAUCUUCCAGCUCAGGCAGACACCUUACACAGUGCAAACAAGAGCCGUGUCAAGAUGAGAGGGAAGCGUAGACCGCAGACCCGUGCAGCUAGGCGGCUGGCUGCACAGGAGUCCAGCGAGGCUGAGGACAUGAGUGUCCCCAGAGGACCCAUUGCACAGUGGGCUGAUGGCACCAUUUCCCCAAAUGGCCAUCGGCCACAGCUUAGAGCAGCCAGUGGAGAAGACAGCACUGAGGAGGCCCUGGCAGCUGCCGCUGCACCUUGGGAAGGUGGUCCUGUGCCUGGAGUGGACAGAAGCCCCUUUGCAAAGUCUCUGGGUCAUUCCAGAGGGGAGGCUGACCUUUUUGAUUCUGGGGACAUCUUUUCCACGGGCACUGGAUCUCAGUCCGUGGAGAGAACAAAACCCAAGGCAAAGAUAGCAGAGAAUCUUGCCAACCCACCAGUGGGUGGUAAAGCAAAGAGCCCCAUGUUUCCUGCUCUAGGCGAGGCCAGCAGUGAUGAUGAUCUCUUUCAGUCUGCUAAACCAAAACCAGCAAAGAAAACAAAUCCCUUUCCUCUCCUGGAAGAUGAGGAUGACCUCUUUACAGAUCAGAAAGUCAAGAAGAAUGAGACAAAAUCCAAUAGUCAGCAGGAUGUCAUAUCAACAACACAAGAUAUUUUUGAGGAUGAUAUAUUUGCUACAGAAGCAAUUAAACCCUCUCAGAAAACCAGAGAGAAGGAGAAAACAUUGGAAUCUAAUUUAUUUGAUGAUAACAUUGAUAUCUUUGCUGACUUAACUGUAAAACCAAAAGAAAAGUCCAAAAAGAAAGUGGAAGCCAAGUCUAUAUUUGAUGAUGAUAUGGAUGACAUCUUCUCCUCUGGUAUCCAGGCUAAGACAGCCAAACCAAAAAGCCGAUCUGCACAGGCCGCACCUGAACCAAGAUUUGAACACAAGGUGUCCAACAUCUUUGAUGAUCCCCUGAAUGCCUUUGGAGGCCAGUAGAGCACACAGGGUAUCCACAUGUUACCCUGCAGCUACAUUGUUGAGUUAGUGAUGAUGUUGUAUAUCCUCAUGGUCUUAACUGGAUUACAAAAAGCAAAUACUAGAACAGCUAGCUCAUCUUUUACCCAAUGUACUUAGUAUUUUUCUGCACUGGUUUAAUCAUGCUUAAUACUACAAAACAAAAAUAAAUAUUUCACAGUG
Molecule: small RNA, 2018 nt
Filed under: Pongo abelii (Sumatran orangutan)
Lineage: Eukaryota; Metazoa; Chordata; Mammalia; Primates; Hominidae
Description: retained intron
Source: RNAcentral